This 66-nucleotide microRNA precursor is filed under the name Harpegnathos saltator (Jerdon's jumping ant). RNAcentral's name for it is "mir-33 microRNA precursor family". It matches the Rfam family "mir-33 microRNA precursor family". Lineage: Eukaryota; Metazoa; Arthropoda; Insecta; Hymenoptera; Formicidae. The record is from Rfam by way of RNAcentral.
CAAGUGUGCAUUGUAGUUGCAUUGCAUGAGAUACAACUAUGCAAUACUUCUACAGUGCAACUCCUG